RNAcentral lists this ribosomal RNA (465 nucleotides) under uncultured bacterium. Its description in RNAcentral is "partial 16S ribosomal RNA". It matches the Rfam family "Bacterial small subunit ribosomal RNA", at positions 28 to 507 of the family's 1533-position model. The record is from RNAcentral.
GACGAACGCUGGCGGCGUGCUUAACACAUGCAAGUCGAACGGUAAGGCCCCUUUGGGGGUACUCGUGUGGCGAACGGGUGAGUAAGACGUGAGUAACCUGCCCUUGACUUCGGGAUAACGUCAGGAAACUGGGGCUAAUACCGGUUAGGAAUACUUGCUGCAUGGAGGGGGUUGGAAAGCUUCGGCUGUUUUGGAUGGACUCGCGGCUUAUCCGGCUGUUGGUGGGGUAGUGGCUUACCAAAGCGUUGACCGGUAGGCGGCCUGAGAGGGCGCCCGGCCACAUUGGGACUGCGAUACGGCGCAGUCUCCUACGGGCGGCAACAGUGGGGAAUAUUGCCCAACGGGCGGGCGCCUGAUGCAGCAACGCCGCGUGCGUGAUGCCGUCCUUCUGGUUGUGAACCGCUUUCAGCAGGGGCGAAGCUUGUGGUGACGGUACCUGCAGAAGAAGCACCGGCUAACUACGUG